Long non-coding RNA from Anopheles gambiae (African malaria mosquito), 1032 nucleotides. RefSeq lists it as uncharacterized. The record is from RefSeq and is a predicted model, not a curated record. The transcript is spliced from 2 exons. NCBI's taxonomy places the organism in Eukaryota, Metazoa, Arthropoda, Insecta, Diptera, Culicidae.
CUUGGCAAAGAGUAACUCAUUUUGAUGCCUCGCGCUACCCCUGGCCUUAGUUUUAAAGGAAUCAUGCGACACACUCACACUCCACUACCCCAUCCCAUGGAAAAACGCUCCCACCAUCGAGGUGUUGACCAAAAUUUCGCUGUAUGCAUGAGACACACACUCGCACUCCUCCAGCCCUCCACAGCUGAACGCUCCCACCGUUGCGAAGUUGCGAGAAUUUUUGCUCUGAGCGUGAGACCCUGAUGCGCAAGAGAUGACACUAUGUGUAAAGACGAUCAUAAUUCGAUACGGUCAAAAUGCGUGGAUUGUCGUUUCAUUUAUCUGGUAAUGAUGAUUUCACUUCAUCAAAAUUAUAAACGUUCACAACUAGGCUGAUAACAAUAUUUGAAAUGUAAAUCAGAAUAAAAUCAAUUCAUUUGAAGUAAAAUAAAUACCAUUAUACUCUAUUUUGUCCAUACGAUCAACACUUGUACAUAGUGCCAUUUACUUUGUGUUCUUCACUCUCGCGCUGUGUUGUGAUCGUUCUAAACUCAUCGCCAGAACGAAUGCAAAUUUCAUAUGGGAAGGAUUGGUGCCGGUAGAUGCGAAAAUUAUUAAAUGUGAAUAGAAAAGUGGUUAAGUAAAUCGUGAAAGAUGUCAACGCAGGCGUAAAUGCAGUAUGUUUUGUUACAUGCUCUACGGGUAAGUGCAUGCAUAAGAAGAAGAAUCUUCCAAAUGAUGUUUGUGUUCUAACAAUCGUACUGCUUUCAAUGUUUGUUUAUUCUUCUAUUAUUUUCCAUCACACCUAGCUAUUUCAUUACCAAAGCUCUUGAUAACAGAUCAAAGCAGAUGGAUCGGGCAUACAGAGUCGCCGUUUAAUUUAAAAUAUCUUCGUGAUCGCAAACGCAUCAAACAGCAAAUGUUUUUCCUUCCAACAGCACGCACCAUCGGUGGUGCAGCAGCUAACGUUUUGUUCGCCUAGCGCGCACCAUCAAGAAUUGAUAUUUUGCCAAACAGUACUGUGAAUAAAAAACUGCACACUUACUGUAGGAA